RNAcentral lists this ribosomal RNA (484 nucleotides) under uncultured bacterium. Its description in RNAcentral is "partial 16S ribosomal RNA". It matches the Rfam family "Bacterial small subunit ribosomal RNA", at positions 30 to 507 of the family's 1533-position model. The record is from RNAcentral.
AUUGAACGCUGGCGGCAGGCCUAACACAUGCAAGUCGAGCGGAUGAACGGAGCUUGCUCCUGGAUUCAGCUGCGGACGGGCGAGUAAUGCCGAGGAAUCUGCCUGGCAGUUUGUGAUAGCGUCCGGAAACGGGCGCUAAUACCGUAUUCGUGCAUAGGGAGAACGGGUGGGAUCAUGGGACCUCACGCUAUCAGGUGAGCCUAGGUCGGAUUAGCUAGUUGGUGGGGUAAAGGCCUACCAAGGCGACGAUCCGUAACUGGUCUGAGAGGAUGAUCAGCCACACUGGAACUGAGACACAGUCCAGACUCCUACGGGAGGCAGCAGUGGGGAAUAUUGGACAAUGGGCGAAAGCCUGAUCCAGCCAUGCCGCGUGUGUGAAGAAGGUCUUCGGAUUGUAAAGCACUUUUAGUUGGGAAGAAGAGCAGUAAGUUAAUACCUUGCUGUUUUGACGGUACCAAAAGAAUAAGCACCGGCUAACUUCGUG